RNAcentral lists this ribosomal RNA (745 nucleotides) under uncultured bacterium. RNAcentral's name for it is "bacterial SSU rRNA". It matches the Rfam family "Bacterial small subunit ribosomal RNA", at positions 33 to 773 of the family's 1533-position model. The record is from RNAcentral.
ACGCUGGCGGCAGGCCUAACACAUGCAAGUCGAGCGGUAGAGAGGAGCUUGCUCCUCUUGAGAGCGGCGGACGGGUGAGUAAUGCCUAGGAAUCUGCCUGGUAGUGGGGGAUAACGUUCGGAAACGGACGCUAAUACCGCAUACGUCCUACGGGAGAAAGCAGGGGACCUUCGGGCCUUGCGCUAUCAGAUGAGCCUAGGUCGGAUUAGCUAGUUGGUGAGGUAAUGGCUCACCAAGGCGACGAUCCGUAACUGGUCUGAGAGGAUGAUCAGUCACACUGAAACUGAGACACGGUCCAGACUCCUACGGGAGGCAGCAGUGGGGAAUAUUGGACAAUGGGCGAAAGCCUGAUCCAGCCAUGCCGCGUGUGUGAAGAAGGUCUUCGGAUUGUAAAGCACUUUAAGUUGGGAGGAAGGGCAGUAAAUUAAUACUUUGCUGUUUUGACGUUACCGACAGAAUAAGCACCGGCUAACUCUGUGCCAGCAGCCGCGGUAAUACAGAGGGUGCAAGCGUUAAUCGGAAUUACUGGGCGUAAAGCGCGCGUAGGUGGUUUGUUAAGUUGGAUGUGAAAUCCCCGGGCUCAACCUGGGAACUGCAUUCAAAACUGACUGACUAGAGUAUGGUAGAGGGUGGUGGAAUUUCCUGUGUAGCGGUGAAAUGCGUAGAUAUAGGAAGGAACACCAGUGGCGAAGGCGACCACCUGGACUGAUACUGACACUGAGGUGCGAAAGCGUGGGGAGCAAAC